This 479-nucleotide ribosomal RNA is filed under the name Fusarium oxysporum. RNAcentral's name for it is "eukaryotic LSU rRNA". The stretch from base 130 to 283 matches the Rfam family "5.8S ribosomal RNA". Lineage: Eukaryota; Fungi; Ascomycota; Sordariomycetes; Hypocreales; Nectriaceae. The record is from RNAcentral. RNAcentral also lists the same sequence under 1 other name.
ACCCCUGUGACAUACCUAUACGUUGCCUCGGCGGAUCAGCCCGCGCCCCGUAAAACGGGACGGCCCGCCCGAGGACCCCUAAACUCUGUUUUUAGUGGAACUUCUGAGUAAAACAAACAAAUAAAUCAAAACUUUCAACAACGGAUCUCUUGGUUCUGGCAUCGAUGAAGAACGCAGCAAAAUGCGAUAAGUAAUGUGAAUUGCAGAAUUCAGUGAAUCAUCGAAUCUUUGAACGCACAUUGCGCCCGCCAGUAUUCUGGCGGGCAUGCCUGUUCGAGCGUCAUUUCAACCCUCAAGCUCAGCUUGGUGUUGGGACUCGCGGUAACCCGCGUUCCCCAAAUCGAUUGGCGGUCACGUCGAGCUUCCAUAGCGUAGUAAUCAUACACCUCGUUACUGGUAAUCGUCGCGGCCACGCCGUUAAACCCCAACUUCUGAAUGUUGACCUCGGAUCAGGUAGGAAUACCCGCUGAACUUAAGCA